CCCUUAGAUGUUCUGGGCCACACGCGCGUUACACUGAUGAAGCCAGCGAGUAUAUCGCCUUCACCGGAAGGUGCGGGUAAUCUUGUGAAACUUCAUCGUGCUGGGGAUAGACCAUUGCAAUUAUUGGUCUUGAACGAGGAAUUCCUAGUAAGCAUGAGUCAUCAACUCGUGCUGAAUACGUCCCUGCCCUUUGUACACACCGCCCGUCGCUCCUACCGAUUGAGUGGUCCGGUGAGGCUUUGGGAUCUGAGCGGAAAGAGCGUUUCGCUGUUUCUGCUCGGAAAACUCAGUCGAACCUUAUCAUUUAGAGGAAGGAGAAGUCGUAACA
This 328-nucleotide ribosomal RNA is filed under the name uncultured eukaryote. RNAcentral's name for it is "partial 18S ribosomal RNA". It matches the Rfam family "Eukaryotic small subunit ribosomal RNA", at positions 1470 to 1796 of the family's 1831-position model. The record is from RNAcentral.